This 562-nucleotide ribosomal RNA is filed under the name uncultured bacterium. RNAcentral describes it as "bacterial SSU rRNA". It matches the Rfam family "Bacterial small subunit ribosomal RNA", at positions 338 to 917 of the family's 1533-position model. The record is from RNAcentral.
CCUACGGGAGGCAGCAGUGGGGAAUAUUGGACAAUGGGCGCAAGCCUGAUCCAGCAAUGCCGCGUGAGUGAUGAAGGCCUUAGGGUUGUAAAGCUCUUUUACCAGGGAUGAUAAUGACAGUACCUGGAGAAUAAGCUCCGGCUAACUCCGUGCCAGCAGCCGCGGUAAUACGGAGGGAGCUAGCGUUGUUCGGAAUUACUGGGCGUAAAGCGUACGUAGGCGGUUAUUCAAGUCAGAGGUGAAAGCCCGGGGCUCAACCCCGGAACUGCCUUUGAAACUAGGUAGCUAGAAUCUUGGAGAGGUCAGUGGAAUUCCGAGUGUAGAGGUGAAAUUCGUAGAUAUUCGGAAGAACACCAGUGGCGAAGGCGACUGACUGGACAAGUAUUGACGCUGAGGUACGAAAGCGUGGGGAGCAAACAGGAUUAGAUACCCUGGUAGUCCACGCCGUAAACGAUGAUAACUAGCUGUCCGGUCACUUGGUGACUGGGUGGCGCAGCUAACGCAUUAAGUUAUCCGCCUGGGGAGUACGGUCGCAAGNUUAAAACUUAAAUGAAUUGAACGG